This is a long non-coding RNA of Papaver somniferum (opium poppy), 1831 nucleotides long. RefSeq lists it as uncharacterized. NCBI's taxonomy places the organism in Eukaryota, Viridiplantae, Streptophyta, Magnoliopsida, Ranunculales, Papaveraceae. The transcript has 4 exons. The record is from RefSeq and is a predicted model, not a curated record.
GCGGCGCCAAAUCUGUGUCUUCCUCCUUUAACCAUUCUUCUUCAUUAGCUGUGCCCUCCUCCAUUAAUAACCACCACGGGUUUUGUGUCUCACAAGCACUAGACAGAGGGAAGGAAAAUGGUUGAUUUGGAUAUUCGGUAUGAGCGGUAUGAGCGGAAUCGGAAAUGGGAGUUUCACCUUCUAAGGGUUUACUGAAUCUGCUUCAGGCUUCGGGGUUGUUUUCUUAGAAAUGUUAUGUGGUCAAAAGCAAUAGACAUUUUCUGGCCAUCAGGAGAAGACAAUUUGGUUGAAUGGGCAAAGCCUUACCUGCCCAGCAAAGUUUAAAGUAUUAUAGACACCGGAGUUGAGAUCCCAAGUACAGACCAACCAUGGAAGAAGUCGUAGCUUCGCUAGAAGGGCUUCAGGAUUCUACAGGACCUACGUCUUCCAAACAUUCUCUCCGAAUACAGUGGGUUAAGCCAAAAAACAGUAAUGAGUUCUUUAAUUUUGAGGCGUACAAGUUGAAGAAGAAAAUGGAAACUUAAAGGCAGAAGUAUAAGAGUGCAGCAUUCCUGUCAUCCAAACCAUUUGUAAGUAUUAAAAAAUUUGCCCUCUUUACGGAAAAGAAUUAGUCGUGUAGUGUUGGGCAGCUAAUCAAUGCUAUGCGAAUGUUUUGCAACAAUCAAAAAAGCAAGUUAUUUGAGAUUUGGGUUUCAAAAAUAUGUUUUUUGACAUCUAGGUUUAGAAACACGCACGAAACCAUGUCCUGUAGGUGUCCAUAAUGUCAGAUUAGCAGUUUUUAAUCACGACUUUCCAAAACUAAUAUUCUCAAGUGUGAAGGAAUAUGUUUAAGUCUGGCUGAACUCUUGAAUUGCUUAAGGAUCACUUUGCAUGUAUGCGGACAUGUAGAAAAUGAUUUUCUAGUAAUGGAUGAUUAAGAACUUCAGCUAGAGAAUACUCCAAAUUGUUGCGACCAAAUUAUACUCUAUUCAGGAGGGCCCUAUCAAACAAUGCUGCAUCUGAGUUGUGUAGUAUUUGGAUUCAACUGGAUUUAUAACUAAAUUUGUUUACUUCGUUUGCGAGAUGCAUAUCAACAUGGACAUGCAACAAGAUACCAUACAGAUGAUUCUUCCUAAAAUUGCGACGCUGAAACGAAGCAAGUGACAUAAGGAGAUCACAUUUUAGCUGAAAAAGCUGAAGGACGGUGCUUCCAGUGCUGAAUUCUCUUGUGAAACUUAUUGUGUCUGCACUCUGCACCGACAAUAACGAUUUGAAGUAUUUUUGUUUUGCCCCAUCCUUCAAUUUCAUUUCAAGCUGGCUAAAUUUCCCAGUGACAUGGUUAACUGAUUACCAUAAUGACUUCUCUCCUCCCAUUAGUGAAUGACAAAUGAGCUAAAUGAACCUAUUUAGUGCUGCUCCAAAAGCAACCAAUAUGGUGAUCAUGGUAUGAAAAAAAGGUUGCAAGACCUCCAUUAUUACAGUUUUGGUAAGGAUUUUAGGAAAUUGUCUAGUAAAUAAUCUAGUAUUUCCUUUUAUUUUUCCUCUGGUACUGUAACGACAAUUGAAAUUCAACCCAGAAAGGGUAUGAGAAGCACAUGUCUAGUUUCUCCCUGUAAUUCUGCAACUACAAAGGAACGCUACCAGUGGAUGACAUCUCAACAAGGAUUGAGACCUUAACGUAUACCAUGUCCAGGACCACUGCAAAAUGCUAAUCUUUGUUUCAUAAAAUUCUGAAUUCCCACUGAUUGUUUCGUAAAAUUCAAGAUCAGCUUGAUGACCAUAUAAUGAGAUGUACAUACCUCAGAACAGUGAACUUUUGGUUUGAUGGGGUGCGUAUUUUAUUUUUUGCCUA